RNAcentral lists this long non-coding RNA (797 nucleotides) under Musa acuminata (dwarf banana). RNAcentral describes it as "long non-coding RNA (MACU_LNC011307)". The record is from RNAcentral. Lineage: Eukaryota; Viridiplantae; Streptophyta; Magnoliopsida; Zingiberales; Musaceae.
GGAACUGCAAGGCUUGUUAGCGUGAUCAGCAACGUCCGAAUAGCGUCAGACGUCUAAAGAAGCUAUCUCCUCUACAUGACACCCCACGAAUCCAGCGUAGGGAAGGCCGGGAGUAGUGGAUCGAAGUCGAAGUCCGGCGCGUAGGCAGGUGGUGGUAACCCGGACGAGAAGCCCCCGCUCGGGAUCCCGACCGCGCCCGUAUCCAGAAAAGACACCGAGGUGUCGAGCGUGGGCAGGCGGAUCUGUUGCAGGGCCGCCCGGUCGCCCGCCGCGGACCGUACCGGCUCGGGCUUCACCAGUGGCUCCCCCGCGAGACGGAACCCCGUCUCCCGCUGCACCACCUCCUGGAAGUCGAUCGGGUCGGCGGAGAUGUAGGUGGUGGCCGACCGCUUCGACGCGUGCGACUUCCUCUUCGAGACCCGCCCCUGCAGGGCCGGGCCGAGGGCAUUCCGCCGGCGAAGGGUGGCGUCUCCGGAUGCAGAGGAGCAAGACGGGGGAGUGAAUUGGUGCUGGAGGAGGAGGAGAGGGGAGGAAAGGGUGUCGGCGGAGGCGGCGGAGGAGGAGGAGGAGGAUGAGGUGGUGGUGUCGGAGAGGGAGAUCUGGAGGGCCAUGGCGACGGCCGCGUUCUCGCGGGCAGAGACCUCGCUGAUCCACGCCGAUUCCGAGUGGUACACCCACGGAUCGAGCACCGAGCAGUUGUCCGCCAUAUCCCUCGGCGGAUUCGAGGAUCGAGAAGGGCGAUCGAUUGGGAUUGGAGCUCAGAAGGGAGUGAAGGCGAAUGGUGAGAGGCACGGAGG